GAGACCCGUGCCCACUGUUACCAGCAUGUCCUCCGGGAYGAUGGGUACUCUGUGGGGACCGCCGGUGUUAAAUCGGAGGAAGGUGCGGGCCACGGUAGGUCAGUAUGCCCCGAAUUUCCCGGGCUACACGCGGGCUACAAUGAAUGGGACAAUGGGUCCCUCCCCUGAAAAGGGCUGGUAAUCUCACAAACCCAUCCUUAGUUCGGAUCGAGGGCUGUAACUCGCCCUCGUGAAGCUGGAAUCCGUAGUAAUCGCGUUUCAAUAUAGCGCGGUGAAUAC
Molecule: ribosomal RNA, 279 nt
Filed under: uncultured methanogenic archaeon
Lineage: Archaea; Methanobacteriati; Methanobacteriota
Description: partial 16S rRNA
Rfam family: Archaeal small subunit ribosomal RNA
Source: RNAcentral